UUCGGACAAAUGCUGCAUAUGUAUUAUGUAGAGGAAAGUCCAUGCUCACACAGUCCUGUGAUGGCUGUAGUGUUCGUGCUUAGGAAAAAAAUAACCUAAGGUAGUUUUAUGCUAACGGCGGAUGAAAAGUCUAAAAGUUUAGGCUCAUGACUCGGUAAUCCAUAAAGUGCCAUAGUAACGUACAAACUGGAAACGGUGGAAAUGGAACGCGGUAAACCCCACGAGUGAGAAAUCCAAAAUUUGGUAGGAGAGCUCUUACGAAAGAAUACGAAUGGAGUAAGGGGCUAGAUUUUUCUAGAAGAUAAAUAUUUGUCGGAUCCUUAGGGAUUUACAGAACAUGGCUUAU
This 346-nucleotide RNase P RNA is filed under the name chicken gut metagenome. Its description in RNAcentral is "Bacterial RNase P class B". It matches the Rfam family "Bacterial RNase P class B". From Rfam's summary of the family: Ribonuclease P (RNase P) is a ubiquitous endoribonuclease, found in archaea, bacteria and eukarya as well as chloroplasts and mitochondria. Its best characterised activity is the generation of mature 5'-ends of tRNAs by cleaving the 5'-leader elements of precursor-tRNAs. Cellular RNase Ps are ribonucleoproteins. The record is from RNAcentral.